UCUUGUUCGAUUGUUUCAUGUACAGAUUGGUGGUGGAAGUGCAACUCCGCGGAUCCGUACUAGUUCGACGGCGGCAGAAACUCCUCCUGUUUCAAAGAUGCUUCUAUGAAAUUUGGUUCUGCUUUGUGAAUGACUCCACUAACAGCGUCUCUCCUUCCUCUCGUUAUGCCUCCAUCUCCUUCGCCGACCAAAUUCUCCAUUUUUCUCAGUUUUGAUCUGGGCACGAAUCUGUUUGUGUAGGAUUUGAGAAAUCACUUUGUGGGUUUUGCUUUAUAGACCAUUUUGUUUCAUAAAAUCUUUCCUUUUACAAGUGGGGUGGGGAUCUUGAUGAACUCACAUCUUGGAUUUGUUUCUUACUUAUCAUGUUAAGAGCGGUUGGAUACUUUGGUUUUCUAAACAUGGGUUGGUAACAAAAUUUGAUUCUUUUUUUUGAAUAUGAGACUUGUGCCUUUGUGUGAGUUUGAUCAAGAUUAUGCAUUUGCAUUGUGCUGAUAAGAAUAGCUUUUUGUAGGUCUAACAGUCGUCCACGUGUCCUUACUUACUUAGCAACCAAUGUUUUCUUGGUUUGUGAUUUGCAGAGUCUUCAGCGGAGUCGAAGGAGUGGAGAUGGAAACAGAGCCAUUGUGCGUGAGUCUCGCCACUGGCAUGAUGUAUUAUGGUUAAACAUCGAUAGGUACACUCAAGGUCUCUUGGAGAAUCAUAAAGGGCUCACCGAGGACUACUGGCCUCUCUAUGUUGUUGAUGGUGGGAUUGGAGUCUUUAUUAGUUGGGUUUGGUAAUUUCUUCUUGGCUCUUACGCCAAUGAGAUGAUGAAAGUUUAUGUUCACAUCUUAACUACUUAUCUAGCUGUAGUUAGUGUACUAUGUUUCUGGUGCAGACAGUUCUUCUGGGGCGGUGCAUUUUCCGUCGGAGCUCUGUUGCAGUUCUUGUAUGUUAUUUCACUCAUUGACAGACUUCCCCUCACGAUGCUGAUUCUGCGGAAAGCGCUGAAAUUAGUUUGGGGACUUCCUAAGGUGAUAAUGGUGGCGCAUGCUUUCACAGUGGUCAUGCUUUUGUGGAUGUCUCUAGGGUCUUUUGGAGCAGCUGGUGUUGUGGCAUCGAAUAUGAGCGAUGAAGGACGCUGGUGGCUUCUUGUGAAAUGCAAUCAAAAUGUUGGGACUUUGUGAAGAGGAUUGUCACGAUACUCAUAAGCAUCAAGACCGGUGUGUGACAGGAGCGAUUAUUAUAGUCCAUUCGCUAGUUCUCCUACUCAAUUCACCAUUGCAUACACUACUCAAUGUGUGUGUGGAAACUAUGCAGUUUGUUGACGGCUUUCAAAAGUAUUAGAAGCACAAUGAGCAGCUGAAAAGACUGGAUUCACUACAAGUAAGAAAGGCUCUUAAGGAUGCUGGUGUUAUUCUUCCAAAACUUUAGGUUACAAAAAUUAGUGUAUGUAAUGUAACUAUGUAAGUAAAAUAUGUUUGGUGUAAUGAAUGUUCUUCAUAAUAACGCAAUACUUUACAUAUAUAA
Molecule: RNA transcript, 1509 nt
Organism: Camelina sativa (false flax)
Lineage: Eukaryota; Viridiplantae; Streptophyta; Magnoliopsida; Brassicales; Brassicaceae
Source: RefSeq, a predicted model, not a curated record